Molecule: long non-coding RNA, 440 nt
Organism: Candoia aspera
Lineage: Eukaryota; Metazoa; Chordata; Lepidosauria; Squamata; Candoiidae
Exons: 3
Source: RefSeq, a predicted model, not a curated record
AAGGUUUGAGGUCUUAUAGAUAAAAGAAUGCUAAGUAUAAUAGUACAUGUUUGCCAUAUUAAAUAGAUUUGGAUUUCCUUUGGAAUUCAUAAAAUGGAUCAAGAUAUUAUAUGAGUCACUCACAUCUAAAGUAAAAAUGUACAUGGAACUUGACAACUGGACAAUGUAAAUGGAUUAUCCAUGCCCUUCCUAUGGCUAAAAGACUGACAUUGCAGCAUUGGAAAGAUAAAUGUAUGGCCCCACUGACUCAAUGGACUGAGGACCUGAUUGCGCUUGCCACCUGUGAGUGGAUUGCCUAUAGACGCAGACUUGGUAUGGACAAGUAGAAUGAAAUGUGGGACUCAUUUAUACAAAUUACAGUGAACCCUUUCAGCCUGUGAAAUCACUGUGUGGGCUACUGGAGCAGAAUCAGACCGCAAGCCCACAAUCCACCUCACUGU